GUAAUUAAGUGCAUGUGGUGGAUGCCUUGGCAGUCAGAGGCGAUGAAAGACGUGAUAGCCUGCGAAAAGCUCCGGGGAGGCGGCAAAUAUCCUUUGAUCCGGAGAUGUCUGAAUGGGGGAACCCACCUACUUUAAGGUAGGUAUUGCAACAUGAAUACAUAGUGUUGCAAGGCGAACGAGGGGAAGUGAAACAUCUCAGUACCCUUAGGAAAAGAAAUCAAUUGAGAUUCCCUCAGUAGCGGCGAGCGAACGGGGAUCAGCCCAUUAAGUUAUGUGUGUUUUAGUGGAACGCUCUGGGAAGUGCGAACGUAGAGGGUGAUAUUCCCGUACACGAAAGGGCACACAUAAUGAUGACGAGUAGGGCGAGGCACGUGAAACCUUGUCUGAAUAUGGGGGGACCAUCCUCCAAGGCUAAAUACUCCUGACUGACCGAUAGUGAACCAGUACCGUGAGGGAAAGGCGAAAAGAACCCCUGUGAGGGGAGUGAAAUAGAUCCUGAAACCGCAUGCAUACAAGCAGUGGGAGCACCUUCGUGGUGUGACUGCGUACCUUUUGUAUAAUGGGUCAGCGACUUAUAUUCAGUAGCGAGGUUAACCGUAUAGGGGAGCCGUAGAGAAAUCGAGUCUUAAUAGGGCGUUUAGUUGCUGGGUAUAGACCCGAAACCAGGCGAUCUAUCCAUGAGCAGGUUGAAGGUUGGGUAACACUAACUGGAGGACCGAACCCACUGUCGUUGAAAAGCCAGGGGAUGACUUGUGGAUAGGGGUGAAAGGCUAAUCAAGCCUGGUGAUAGCUGGUUCUCCCCGAAAGCUAUUUAGGUAGCGCCUCGGACGAAUACCAUAGGGGGUAGAGCACUGUUUCGGCUAGGGGGUCAUCCCGACUUACCAAACCGAUGCAAACUCCGAAUACCUAUGAGUACUAUCCGGGAGACAGACUGCGGGUGCUAACGUCCGUAGUCAAGAGGAAAACAAUCCAGACCGCCAGCUAAGGCCCCAAAAUCAUAGUUAAGUGGGAAACGAUGUGGGAAGGCAUAGACAGCUAGGAGGUUGGCUUAGAAGCAGCCACCCUUUAAAGAAAGCGUAAUAGCUCACUAGUCGAGUCGGCCUGCGCGGAAGAUGUAACGGGGCUAAAACUAUGUGCCGAAGCUGCGGAUGUAUACUUUGUAUACGUGGUAGGGGAGCGUUCUGUAAGCCGAUGAAGGUGUGUUGAGAAGCAUGCUGGAGGUAUCAGAAGUGCGAAUGCUGACGUGAGUAACGACAAAACGGGUGAAAAACCCGUUCGCCGAAAGACCAAGGGUUCCAGUCCAACGUUAAUCGGGGCUGGGUGAGUCGACCCCUAAGGCGAGGCCGAAAGGCGUAGUCGAUGGGAAAAUGGUUAAUAUUCCAUUACUUCUGUGUAAUGCGAUGAGAGGACGGAGAAGGCUAAAUCAGCCUGGCGUUGGUUGUCCAGGUGAAAGGAUGUAGGCAUGUAUCUUAGGCAAAUCCGGGGUACUCUAUGCUGAGAUCUGAUAGCAAGCUGUACUUGUACAGCGAAGUGGUUGAUGCCAUGCUUCCAGGAAAAGUCUCUAAGCUUCAGUUACACAGGAAUCGUACCCGAAACCGACACAGGUGGUCAGGUCGAGUAGACCAAGGCGCUUGAGAGAACUCUGCUGAAGGAACUAGGCAAAAUGGUACCGUAACUUCGGGAGAAGGUACGCUGUUGUUGGUGAUGGAACUUGCUUCCUGAGCUGACGACAGCCGCAGAAACCAGGCCGCUGCAACUGUUUAUUAAAAACAUAGCACUCUGCAAACACGAAAGUGGACGUAUAGGGUGUGAUGCCUGCCCGGUGCUGGAAGGUUAAUUGAUGGGGUUAGCGUAAGCGAAGCUCUUGAUCGAAGCCCCAGUAAACGGCGGCCGUAACUAUAACGGUCCUAAGGUAGCGAAAUUCCUUGUCGGGUAAGUUCCGACCUGCACGAAUGGCAUAAUGAUGGCGGCGCUGUCUCCAGCAGAGGCUCAGUGAAAUCGAAAUCGCUGUGAAGAUGCAGUGUACCCGCGGCUAGACGGAAAGACCCCGUGAACCUUUACUGCAGCUUGACACUGAACUUUGACCUUACUUGUGUAGGAUAGGUGGGAGGCUUUGAAGCUGGAACGCUAGUUCCAGUGGAGCCGUCCUUGAAAUACCACCCUGGUAAUGUUGAGGUUCUAACUCUGUCCCGUGAUCCGGGACGAGGACCGUGUCUGGUGGGUAGUUUGACUGGGGCGGUCUCCUCCUAAAGAGUAACGGAGGAGUACGAAGGUGCGCUCAGCGUGGUCGGAAAUCACGCGUAGAGUAUAAAGGCAAAAGCGCGCUUAACUGCGAGACCCACAAGUCGAGCAGGUACGAAAGUAGGUCUUAGUGAUCCGGUGGUUCUGUAUGGAAGGGCCAUCGCUCAACGGAUAAAAGGUACUCUGGGGAUAACAGGCUGAUACCGCCCAAGAGUUCAUAUCGACGGCGGUGUUUGGCACCUCGAUGUCGGCUCAUCUCAUCCUGGGGCUGAAGCAGGUCCCAAGGGUAUGGCUGUUCGCCAUUUAAAGAGGUACGCGAGCUGGGUUUAGAACGUCGUGAGACAGUUCGGUCCCUAUCUACCGUGGGCGCUGGAAAUUUGAGAGGAUCUGCUCCUAGUACGAGAGGACCAGAGUGGACGAACCUCUGGUGUACCGGUUGUGACGCCAGUCGCAUCGCCGGGUAGCUAUGUUCGGAAGGGAUAACCGCUGAA
This 2732-nucleotide ribosomal RNA is filed under the name Acinetobacter baumannii. RNAcentral describes it as "partial 23S ribosomal RNA". It matches the Rfam family "Bacterial large subunit ribosomal RNA". Lineage: Bacteria; Pseudomonadati; Pseudomonadota; Gammaproteobacteria; Moraxellales; Moraxellaceae. The record is from RNAcentral.